UGGCUCAACCGGGAUUUCAACCCAGGACCUCUCACACCCGAAGCAAGAAUCAUUCCUCUAGACCAUUGAGCC
RNAcentral lists this transfer RNA (72 nucleotides) under Araneus ventricosus. Its description in RNAcentral is "tRNA-Pro". Lineage: Eukaryota; Metazoa; Arthropoda; Arachnida; Araneae; Araneidae. The record is from RNAcentral.